UGGGGAAUAUUGGACAAUGGGCGAAAGCCUGAUCCAGCCAUGCCGCGUGUGUGAAGAAGGCCUUUUGGUUGUAAAGCACUUUAAGUGGGGAGGAAAAGCUUGUGGUUAAUACCCAUAAGCCCUGACGUUACCCACAGAAUAAGCACCGGCUAACUCUGUGCCAGCAGCCGCGGUAAUACAGAGGGUGCAAGCGUUAAUCGGAAUUACUGGGCGUAAAGCGCGCGUAGGUGGUUAUUUAAGUCAGAUGUGAAAGCCCCGGGCUUAACCUGGGAACUGCAUCUGAUACUGGAUAACUAGAGUAGGUGAGAGGGGAGUAGAAUUCCAGGUGUAGCGGUGAGAUGCGUAGAGAUCUGGAGGAAUACCGAUGGCGAAGGCAGCUCCCUGGCAUCAUACUGACACUGAGGUGCGAAAGCGUGGGUAGCAAACAGGAUUAGAUACCCUGGUAGUCCACGCCGUAAACGAUGUCUACCAGUCGUUGGGUCUUUUAAAGACUUAGUGACGCAGUUAACGCAAUAAGUAGACCGCCUGGGGAGUACGGCCGCAAGGUUA
RNAcentral lists this ribosomal RNA (549 nucleotides) under uncultured bacterium. RNAcentral's name for it is "bacterial SSU rRNA". It matches the Rfam family "Bacterial small subunit ribosomal RNA", at positions 355 to 896 of the family's 1533-position model. The record is from RNAcentral.